GAUGAACGCUAGCGACAGGCUUAACACAUGCAAGUCGAGGGGCAGCACGGUGUAGCAAUACAUUGGUGGCGACCGGCGCACGGGUGAGUAACGCGUAUGCAACCUACCUAUCAGAGGGGAAUAACCCGGCGAAAGUCGGACUAAUACCGCAUAACGUACGGUCCUCACAUGGGGACUGUACCAAAGAUUUUAUCGCUGGAAGAUGAGCUCGCGGCCGAUUAGGUAGUUGGUGAGAUAACAGCCCACCAAGCCGACGAUCGGUAGCUGGACUGAGAGGUUGAUCGGCCACAUUGGGACUGAGACACGGCCCAG
This 312-nucleotide ribosomal RNA is filed under the name uncultured bacterium. Its description in RNAcentral is "bacterial SSU rRNA". It matches the Rfam family "Bacterial small subunit ribosomal RNA", at positions 28 to 334 of the family's 1533-position model. The record is from RNAcentral.